CGGGGGGAGCAAGCGUUGUUCGGAUUUACUGGGCGUAAAGGGCGCGUAGGCGGCCACCGCAAGUCGACUGUGAAAUCUCCGGGCUUAACCCGGAAAGGUCAGCCGAUACUGCGGGGCUAGAGUGCAGAGGGGGCAACUGGAAUUCUCGGUGUAGCGGUGAAAUGCGUAGAUAUCGAGAGGAACACCUGCGGCGAAGGCGGGUUGCUGGGCUGACACUGACGCUGAUGCGCGAAAGCUAGGGGAGCGAACGGGAUUAGAUACCCCGGUAGUCCUAGCCUUAAACGAUGAAUGCUUGGUGUCUGGGGUUUUAUAGUCCCCGGGUGCCGUCGCUAACGCUUUAAGCAUUCCGCCUGGGGAGUACGGUCGCAAGACUG
RNAcentral lists this ribosomal RNA (374 nucleotides) under uncultured organism. RNAcentral describes it as "bacterial SSU rRNA". It matches the Rfam family "Bacterial small subunit ribosomal RNA", at positions 526 to 896 of the family's 1533-position model. The record is from RNAcentral.